RNAcentral lists this ribosomal RNA (250 nucleotides) under uncultured prokaryote. Its description in RNAcentral is "partial 16S rRNA". It matches the Rfam family "Bacterial small subunit ribosomal RNA", at positions 525 to 775 of the family's 1533-position model. The record is from RNAcentral.
ACGUAGGGGGCAAGCGUUAUCCGGAAUUAUUGGGCGUAAAGAGUGCGUAGGUGGUUUUUUAAGCGUGAGGUGAAAGGCAAUAGCUUAACUAUUGUAAUCCUUGAGGACUGGAUGACUUGAGUUCAGGAGAGGAAAGUGGAAUUCCUAGUGUAGCGGUGAAAUGCGUAGAUAUCAGGAGGAACACCAGUGGCGAAGGCGGCUUUCUGGACUAUAACUGACGCUGAGGCGCGAAAGCGUGGGGAGCAAACAG